This 86-nucleotide microRNA precursor is filed under the name Loxodonta africana (African savanna elephant). RNAcentral's name for it is "miRNA (ENSLAFG00000023506.2)". The record is from RNAcentral. Lineage: Eukaryota; Metazoa; Chordata; Mammalia; Proboscidea; Elephantidae.
GGCUGGGCAGGGCUGGGCUGGGCAGGGCAGGGCAGGGAAGAUCCCAGCCUCCUCCAUCUCUAUCUCUCAAGAGCUUCCUGAGGGCU